CUCAGACUGAACGCUGGCGGCGUGCUUAACACAUGCAAGUCGCGCGUGAAAGGACUUCGGUCCGAGUAAAGCGGCGCACGGGUGAGUAACGCGUGGAUGAUCUACCCAUGAGUUAGGAAUAACGGCUGGAAACGGUCGCUAAUACCAAAUACGCUCCGAUUUCAACUUCGGGGGAAAGGUGGCCUCUGCUUGCAAGCUACUGCUCAUGGAUGAGUCCGCGUCCCAUUAGCUAGUUGGUGGGGUAACGGCCCACCAAGGCGACGAUGGGUAGCCGGUCUGAGAGGAUGACCGGCCACACUGGGACUGGGACACGGCCCAGACUCCUACGGGAGGCAGCAGUGGGGAAUAUUGCGCAAUGGGCGAAAGCCUGACGCAGCGACGCCGCGUGAGGGAUGAAGGUCCUCGGAUCGUAAACCUCUGUCAGGAGGGAAGAACCGCCACGGUGCUAAUCAGCCGUGGUCUGACGGUACCUCCAAAGGAAGCACCGGCUAACUCCGUGCCAGCCGCUGC
This 510-nucleotide ribosomal RNA is filed under the name uncultured bacterium. Its description in RNAcentral is "bacterial SSU rRNA". It matches the Rfam family "Bacterial small subunit ribosomal RNA", at positions 23 to 518 of the family's 1533-position model. The record is from RNAcentral.